GGGGAUGUACUGGUUUCGACGGGGAUAGGUGGUGUACGAUAAGCGAGCCGUGGUCUGGCACACGUUAACUGUUGGGACGUUUAAAUAUAAACGCUGAUAAAGAAUACGCUUUAGCAGCUUAACUGCUAACUGUCUUCUGAGCUCCUCCUACAGGCGAGGAAAGACAGUCAAUAUGUGGGAUACCUUAGGGCUGAUUCCUGUAAGCCUUUAGGGAAACCUUUACAGGAUAGCAACCUGAGCGCCCGUCGAUAGGCAUUCGGGAAGCGAAAUAAAAUAUGUCGUCUGCGCUCGGAGAAAGUUGUAUGGCAAUAUUUUCGGACAGGGGUUCGACUCCCCUCAUCUCCACCA
This 348-nucleotide transfer-messenger RNA is filed under the name uncultured Phascolarctobacterium sp. It matches the Rfam family "transfer-messenger RNA". From Rfam's summary of the family: Bacterial tmRNA, also known as 10Sa RNA or SsrA, is named for its dual tRNA and mRNA-like properties. Lineage: Bacteria; Bacillati; Bacillota; Negativicutes; Acidaminococcales; Acidaminococcaceae. The record is from RNAcentral.